Molecule: ribosomal RNA, 497 nt
Filed under: uncultured bacterium
Lineage: Bacteria
Description: partial 16S ribosomal RNA
Rfam family: Bacterial small subunit ribosomal RNA
Source: RNAcentral
GAUGAACGCUGGCGGCGUGCCUAAUACAUGCAAGUCGAGCGAACGGACGAGAAGUUUUCUUCUCUGAUGUUAUCGGCGGUCGGGUUAGUAACAUGUGGAUAACCUACCUAUAAGACUGUGAUAACUUUGGGAAACCGGAGCUACUACCGGAUGAUUUUUUGAACCGCAUUGUUCAAAAGUGAAAUACGGUCUUGCUUUCACUUAUAGAUGGCUCCGCGUUGCAUUAGUUAGUUGGUAAGGUAACGGCUUACCAAGGCAACGAUGCAUAGCCGACCUGAGCGGGUGGACGGCCACACGGGAAGUGAGACAGAGUAGAGACACCGAGGGGAAGCAGCAGUAGGGAAUCGUACGCAAGGGGGGAGAGCGGGACGGAGGAAAGCGGCGGGAGGGAUGAAGGAGUACGGAUCGGAAAACUCUGUUGUUAGGGAAGAACAAAUGUGUAAGUAACAGGGAAGAUAGUGACGGUACCUAAUCAGAAAGCCACGGCUAACUACGUG